AUCCGGGUUGCGGACAGUGUCUGGUGGGUAGUUUGACUGGGGCGGUCUCCUCCUAAAGAGUAACGGAGGAGCACGAAGGUUGGCUAAUCCUGGUCGGACAUCAGGAGGUUAGUGCAAUGGCAUAAGCCAGCUUGACUGCGAGCGUGACGGCGCGAGCAGGUGCGAAAGCAGGUCAUAGUGAUCCGGUGGUUCUGAAUGGAAGGGCCAUCGCUCAACGGAUAAAAGGUACUCCGGGGAUAACAGGCUGAUACCGCCCAAGAGUUCAUAUCGACGGCGGUGUUUGGCACCUCGAUGUCGGCUCAUCACAUCCUGGGGCUGAAGUAGGUCCCAAGGGUAUGGCUGUUCGCCAUUUAAAGUGGUACGCGAGCUGGGUUUAGAACGUCGUGAGACAGUUCGGUCCCUAUCUGCCGUGGGCGCUGGAGAACUGAGGGGGGCUGCUCCUAGUACGAGAGGACCGGAGUGGACGCAUCACUGGUGUUCGGGUUGUCAUGCCAAUGGCACUGCCCGGUAGCUAAAUGCGGAAGAGAUAAGUGCUGAAAGCAUCUAAGCACGAAACUUGCCCCGAGAUGAGUUCUCCCUGACUCCUUGAGAGUCCUGAAGGAACGUU
This 607-nucleotide ribosomal RNA is filed under the name Escherichia coli. RNAcentral's name for it is "partial 23S ribosomal RNA". It matches the Rfam family "Bacterial large subunit ribosomal RNA", at positions 2238 to 2839 of the family's 2925-position model. Lineage: Bacteria; Pseudomonadati; Pseudomonadota; Gammaproteobacteria; Enterobacterales; Enterobacteriaceae. The record is from RNAcentral.